UUGUUCUAGGUUUUUAAUUAGUAGCUAAAUUCUUUUUUUCUUCCUGGAAAAAAAACAGAACACAAACAAAAAAGAAGACAAAAAAAGGAGAGAUGACUGAUUAUGCAGUCACACCAUGACUGGAACCGACCAUGAACAAUACUUAUACUAUCAAUAUACCAAACAAUGGUUAUCAUAGCAGUCACUUUCCUCUCUCAUAUGUGCUUCAGUCUGGUAAUCUCUUUGGUCUAGUAUGCAGUUUUUUUUUCUUCAUCUAGCGUCACAGUGGAAAAGAGAAGUUCUUGUACUUCCAUUAUUUGGUAGUGUAGCUGUUAUUUUAUUUCCAUAGUUUGUAGUACAGCUUUGAAAUACUGAUUGUACGGUUAGUCAGUGAUCAGCAGAGGGCAUGUAUGGCUUAAAUUCUAAUCUCUUUGUAUUAUGAGAAAUUUAAGUUUUAAUUGGUACUGUAGUCGGACUGAAUAAGAUUUGAUGCUGAAACUGGACUCUAAUGUGAAUAGCUGUCCUGAACAAUGCCAAUGGCCUGUUUUUCAAAUCUUAGUCUCACAAAGGACUUCUUUAGUCAAAUAUACAAGAGAAAUUCUAACUGCAUUGCAAAUAAUUUGCAGACUUGUAUAGAAAUUCAACUUUUUGUCUUGCUUUCAUGAAGAUCCUUUCUAACAGAUUUUGAUUUUCUAUGAA
RNAcentral lists this unclassified non-coding RNA (678 nucleotides) under Hevea brasiliensis (rubber tree). The record is from RNAcentral. Lineage: Eukaryota; Viridiplantae; Streptophyta; Magnoliopsida; Malpighiales; Euphorbiaceae.